CCUACGGGGGGCAGCAGUGGGGAAUUUUGGACAAUGGGCGCAAGCCUGAUCCAGCCAUGCCGCGUGCAGGAUGAAGGCCUUCGGGUUGUAAACUGCUUUUGUACGGAACGAAAAGACUCUGGUUAAUACCUGGGGUCCAUGACGGUACCGUAAGAAUAAGCACCGGCUAACUACGUGCCAGCAGCCGCGGUAAUACGUAGGGUGCGAGCGUUAAUCGGAAUUACUGGGCGUAAAGCGUGCGCAGGCGGUUAUGUAAGACAGAUGUGAAAUCCCCGGGCUCAACCUGGGAACUGCAUUUGUGACUGCAUAGCUAGAGUACGGCAGAGGGGGAUGGAAUUCCGCGUGUAGCAGUGAAAUGCGUAGAUAUGCGGAGGAACACCGAUGGCGAAGGCAAUCCCCUGGGCCUGUACUGACGCUCAUGCACGAAAGCGUGGGGAGCAAACAGGAUUAGAUACCCCAGUAGUC
This 465-nucleotide ribosomal RNA is filed under the name uncultured Acidovorax sp. RNAcentral's name for it is "bacterial SSU rRNA". It matches the Rfam family "Bacterial small subunit ribosomal RNA", at positions 338 to 795 of the family's 1533-position model. Lineage: Bacteria; Pseudomonadati; Pseudomonadota; Betaproteobacteria; Burkholderiales; Comamonadaceae. The record is from RNAcentral.